RNAcentral lists this ribosomal RNA (448 nucleotides) under uncultured bacterium. RNAcentral's name for it is "bacterial SSU rRNA". It matches the Rfam family "Bacterial small subunit ribosomal RNA", at positions 28 to 477 of the family's 1533-position model. The record is from RNAcentral.
GAUGAACGCUGGCGGCGUGCUUAACACAUGCAAGUCGAACGGGAAAUACUUUAUUGAAACUUCGGUGGAUUUAAUUUAUUUCUAGUGGCGGACGGGUGAGUAACGCGUGGGUAACCUGCCUUAUACUGGGGGAUAACAGCCAGAAAUGACUGCUAAUACCGCAUAAGCGCACAGAACCGCAUGGUUCCGUGUGAAAAACUCCGGUGGUAUAAGAUGGACCCGCGUUGGAUUAGCUAGUUGGCAGGGCAGCGGCCUACCAAGGCGACGAUCCAUAGCCGGCCUGAGAGGGUGAACGGCCACAUUGGGACUGAGACACGGCCCAGACUCCUACGGGAGGCAGCAGUGGGGAAUAUUGCACAAUGGGGGAAACCCUGAUGCAGCGACGCCGCGUGAAGGAAGAAGUAUCUCGGUAUGUAAACUUCUAUCAGCAGGGAAGAUAAUGACGGUA